This is a long non-coding RNA of Helianthus annuus (common sunflower), 2756 nucleotides long. RefSeq lists it as uncharacterized. NCBI's taxonomy places the organism in Eukaryota, Viridiplantae, Streptophyta, Magnoliopsida, Asterales, Asteraceae. The transcript is spliced from 10 exons. The record is from RefSeq and is a predicted model, not a curated record.
AUUUCGUAUCGCCUUCAAAUUUUACCAAAAUAUUCCCUCCCAAAAUAUUCCUACCAAUCCAGAUUUCAAUUCAAGGUUUUUCUUUUGAUGUUUACAGAUGAACAUAUAGGGGGUGUUUGGGAUUCCUUUUAACUUAUGACUUAUAACUUUUGAGAAGUCAUAAGUGAGAAGUAACAAUUUCUUACUUCUCAAUUUCUCCUUCUCAAAGCCAUUUGAAGGCAUAGAAGUCCUUAUUUGAGAGUGUUUGGAAUUCCUUUUGAUCAUAAAAGUUCUUCUCAACAGGUGUUUGGGUUUCCUUUUCACUUCUCAGAACUCAAUAAGUGAGAAGUUGGGGCAAAAUAAGGAACCCCAAACACCGCCAUACUACAAUUACGAAUUUGAAUUCAAGUUUUUUCCCCAAACCCUGAUUCUAUUUGGAGCCCUAAAUCUAUUCUUCACCAAAUUUCAAUUCAGUUAAAGAAUUAAUGGUGGCCGUUGGGCUAGGCAAUCAUUUGACAAUCGGCACACACACAACCACAGGCCCACGCUACUGGCUCGCAAGCAAUUGAACAAUCUGGUGUUCAACAAAAAGAAAAGGAAUACAAAGGCCAUUCGCUAAUUUUGUGUUCGAUUUGGUACACGUUCUUUCAUUGGUUUAAUCGACGUUAUUUUGGAGAAGAGGAAAACUUACCGUAUUCGCAGCAGAAAGAGGAGUUUCUUAAAGCACUUAAAGAGAAUCAAGCCCUAAUUUUGGUCGGUGAGGAUGUAAUGGUAAAGCCACUAAGAUUCCUCAAUUUGUGCUCAAAGCCGUAGAGUUAGAGAGCGUAGAUAAAUGUAACAAGUUCAUGGCGGUUUGCACCAACUUCUAAUAGUAUUAUCAGAAGUGGUCCAGCUGAUGUUGUGGAGAGUGUAAAUGGUGUCUCUAAUAGUUAUUUUUAGGAUUAUUAGGUUGCUGCCUUUGUCCCUAAAAGUGAACUUGACUGUGAAAUAUAUGAGAUGCCCAUUUGCUAGAAGUAAUUGCCAAAACAUACUACCGAAGAUCCAGAUGGAGGAGAUGAAAAGACGCGAUAUAACUUUUUUGCUGAUUGCUUGAUUGUAUUGGUUUCGAAGAAGCUGAAGAUAAGAAAGCCGAAUUUAUGACUGCAGACUAAAUUUAUGGAUUCUUUCAGGUGCUAUUCUUUCUUUAGCCAAAGUAAGACUACAAGGAGUGGAGGAGCUUGGGUUGGGGGCAUUGCUCGACGUGGCGAGGGUGGAAUCCACAAGCUUAUGGUGAAAAAUAAGGGGUGUGGCGUGGCCAGCCAUGUGAAAUUUUUUAAUUAAAGUAGCCAACCAAAGCCAUCCAAGUAACGUUUGCCACCCCCCCCCCCCCCCCCCCCCCGCGCCAGGCUGAAUACCCACGCCAAAGGGGCAAAGCCAUGCCCAAGCCCAGCCCGGAGUGGACCAGCUGGCGUUGAAGGGUUUCCUCCUAUCUGCAUAAAGCUUUUUAGUUCUUCUGUAGAAUUAGGCCUGUUUAAUCUAUCGUAAUAGAUGCAACUACAGUAUUGAAAUUUCAAAACUAGUGUUUUAUAUUUCACUGCAUUUGUUGUGUUUAAAAUAUAGAUGAUUGUUUUUAAGUUUUUUUCACACAUCUCUUGUAGUUUACUAAACUUAUUUUGAUUUUACCUAAUCAAGGUCCCUAAAUCUCCAAAAUGGCUGCUUAAAGCUUUGCAAUGGAGUCGUUUAAGCAUGUUUUUACAUAUGGCCAGGAUAUGUGCUUUAUGAGCAAACAAAUUAAGGUUUGACAUGUCACGAUUUUAUAAAGUCAUUUAAUCAUAUUUAUUGUUAGCUUAAAGCUCUCUUCUUUGUUGCUAUGUUAUAGUUAUAGAAACUUUUGAAUUCAUUCAAGUUUUUAGGAUAUGUACAAGACUACAAGUUGUAUAAAAUUAUUUAUUUCAAGAAGUCUACGUGUGGGUGUAGAGAUUCAACAUAUCUUGAGAUCUUAAAAACAAAGGGUUUGAUGAUGUGUCUGCUACUAUUUGGCUGUUACCGUAACCCUCGUUCUCCAUAUUCUCAUCAUCCUUGCUAUCGCUUUCGAGGAUCGCAGAUCCGACUCCUGGUUGUAGAUCCGAAUUAUUCUUCUCCGGUCAUCAAUUUCUCUCCCUACCAUUCGCGCCGGAGGUGUUGGAGUGAAUCUUCAAGUUGCGGAUACAGUCAUCAUUUUUGACACAGAUUGGAAUCCACAAGCAUUACAUAUAUGGAGGAUUAUAUGUGUUUUGUUUUUGUAGGAUGAUCCCCUAUGUGUUGCUGCCAGACAAGAUGGGAAGAUAUUAGUCUCUAGUCUGUGGGUUGAUCACAGUUUUGAUGUCGGAGCGCCUGUGGAUACAACCUCGGUAAUGUACGUACCAGUGAGAUAUUUGAAUGGGAUUCCAGGUGCAACGUAACUAGUUAUAUGUUUGACAGGAUAUCAACGUGAAGAUCGAGAGGACAUUAUGGUAAUGUCAAAAGAAGUUGAGUAUAGUCGGUUGGCUGAUGUGGCGACAAUAAGUAGUAAGUGCUGGAAACUAUGAAGUGGAAGUAUGACUACUAAGAAAACGUUAACACGAUGAUUAUUUAACUCGCAUGAAGAUUAUAAAAGAGAUUCAUGAACACAAUGAAGUUUUGAGUUUUUAUUCAUACACUUGUUAGUUUAUUUGGGUUAUAUGUUUGAUCACUAGACUUAAAUCGACACUUAUUAGACAUUUGGAAUCUUUGGAAGAUUGAUUGAACUUUUAAUUGAAGUGAUUAUUUUAUGAUUUCUA